UGCCAGCAGCCGCGGUAAUACGGAGGGUGCAAGCGUUAAUCGGAAUUACUGGGCGUAAAGCGCGCGUAGGCGGUUUGUUAAGUCGGAUGUGAAAGCCCUGGGCUCAACCUGGGAAUUGCAUACGAUACUGAUCGACUAGAGUACGAGAGAGGGAGGUAGAAUUCCACGUGUAGCGGUGAAAUGCGUAGAUAUGUGGAGGAAUACCGGUGGCGAAGGCGGCCUCCUGGCUCGAUACUGACGCUGAGGUGCGAAAGCGUGGGUAGCAAACAGGAUUAGAUA
Molecule: ribosomal RNA, 279 nt
Filed under: uncultured bacterium
Lineage: Bacteria
Description: partial 16S ribosomal RNA
Rfam family: Bacterial small subunit ribosomal RNA
Source: RNAcentral